AAAUGAUGGUUGAGAAUAGGUAACAUAAAUGCACGAAAGGAAAACUCAGAAGCUUCAGGAGAUAGACCGGAGUCCACACAUUGACAGGAGUUUAACUGACUUCCAUUUGUACUUAAAUUAGGAUCUACAUAUAGGUUUUGUACUUUUGUGGGCCAAUAAAGGGAGGCUUUGCAGGAGAGGUGUCAAUUUGGGUCUUGCAAUGAUUUGGAGUGUUCAUCGUUUGGUCGCUGAUGUUUCUCUCUGCUUCUUUUUCUUCAAAAUAUUGUUUUGGCUUUUAAAGUGAAGAAGCAUAAGUUUCCUGUGAACGAUAAAAGAUUGUCUGCUGUUCUUAGUUAAGCAUGAAUAUCCUGCUCUGAUUUUGCGAAGAUUGAAGGCCUAGUUGUCAUUUGAGAAUUAUAUAUCCAAGUGUUAUUGUUGUAAAAAAGAUUUGUUGGUGGUUCAUAUAAACUCAACUCUAGAAAUCAGUAUGCUGUAGUUGAGUUUGAAACAUGCUUGGGUGAUCCAAUUCUUAGUCCUAGACAUGAUUCAUUUAAAACGUGAAAUCUAAAUGAUUUUCCAUGUGGGAGCUGCCACACCCUUGUUCUCUGCCUUCUAACUUUCUUUUGAGCAAUGUGUUGGCAUCAGAUACUGCUAACUCCAAUAACUAGACUAAUUCAAGACACUUUCCUACUGCUCUAGUAUCUGAACGUGUUUAAUAUUCUAUUACAAAAGUUCAUUUUUCUGCCUUAGGAGGACCUGAUUUUUUAAUUGAUAAUUACAUGGUUUUAAUUGAAGAUAUUCUGGCCUAUUCUAGUUGUCUUUUAUUUUAUUUUAUAGAGCAUAGUUUUUUCUUUGUAUCCAUUCUCCUUUCCAUUUUCUUUUUAGACAAAAUUCAAAUAUGCCAUAACUUAUAUGCCAAGAUGCUAUUUCUUCUUCAUGAGAUAUUCAUCAUAUUUUGUUCUUGUUUUUGUUUAUAUUAGACAUAAAAUGCCUUUAUUUAGCAAUUUCUCCUCCUUGAGUUAAGGUUGAAUGACCACAGUCAAUUGGGAUGUUCUUGUUGUUUGAUUUCAUUUUUUUUUUGCUGGGGAAUGUGGCCUGGAUGAUGCAAGUCCAGCAGGGAUUCUUCACAUAACCGUACUCAUUGAAUUGAAAAUUUGAGAUCAAGUAUUUGGUGUAUUGUAUCUUUAUAAAUUCAACCCCUGUCCCCUUUUUUUUUCCUUCUUUUUCUUUCAAUUUUGUUUUGCAUUCUUAGUAGCUUAGGCUGUCCUGCUGACCUGCUUGAAAAAUUUCAGGCACCUUUGGAUGAAACAUGGAGA
This 1295-nucleotide unclassified non-coding RNA is filed under the name Hevea brasiliensis (rubber tree). The record is from RNAcentral. Lineage: Eukaryota; Viridiplantae; Streptophyta; Magnoliopsida; Malpighiales; Euphorbiaceae.